CUUCAAAUUUUAAUUAAUUAGUUAUAUAAAUACAUUGCUGUUUAUCAGCUAUAGCAAUAAACGGAUUUUGUAAUAAACUUAUCGGACCCGGGGGCGGUACCCGGCACCUCCACCAAAAAUUUAUGGGGGUGAAAUAGGAUCGACGAAAGUGUAAAGAUUUUCUUUUUGCUCGGCAUUGUACCACCGUUAUCGGGCUUAUUUAUAGUUGCAAAUGACGACUAUGCAGAGUUAGCUCUCGCUGCUUAAGUGCGAGCUGCUCAAUAUAACUCCUAAUUAGUUGCAUAAUUAGGCGGGGUUUGAGGAGCACCUGGCAACAGAAGCUCC
RNAcentral lists this transfer-messenger RNA (324 nucleotides) under marine eukaryotic metagenome. RNAcentral describes it as "Alphaproteobacteria transfer-messenger RNA". It matches the Rfam family "Alphaproteobacteria transfer-messenger RNA". Rfam says of the family: Bacterial tmRNA, also known as 10Sa RNA or SsrA, is named for its dual tRNA and mRNA-like properties. Its role is to liberate the mRNA from a stalled ribosome. The record is from RNAcentral.